Molecule: ribosomal RNA, 301 nt
Filed under: uncultured bacterium
Lineage: Bacteria
Description: partial 16S ribosomal RNA
Rfam family: Bacterial small subunit ribosomal RNA
Source: RNAcentral
CAGCCGCCACGGUAAUGCGAAGGGGGCUAGCGUUGUUCGGAAUCACUGGGCGUAAAGGGCGCGUAGGCGGCCGAUCAAGUCAGGCGUGAAAGCCCCGGGCUUAACCUGGGAACUGCGUUUGGGACUGGUUGGCUUGAGUUCGGGAGAGGAGAGUGGAAUUCCCAGUGUAGAGGUGAAAUUCGUAGAUAUUGGGAAGAACACCGGUGGCGAAGGCGGCUCUCUGGACCGAUACUGACGCUGAGGCGCGAAAGCGUGGGGAGCAAACAGGAUUAGAUACCCCCGUAGUCCCUGUCUCUUAUAC